CAAUAGCGUAUAUUAAAGCUGUUGCGGUUAAAAAGCUCGUAGUUGGAUUUCUGUCAAGGACAACUGGUCCGCCCUCCGGGUGAGCACAUAGUUUGGUCUUGGCAUCUUGCUGGAAACUGUUGCUGCGCUUGGUUGUGUGGUGCAGCUUUCAGCACUUUCACUUUGAGGAAAUUGGAGUGUUUCAAGCAGGCACAUGCCUUUGGACACAGUAGCAUGGAAUAAUUAGAUUGGGCUUUUGCUCCAACUUGUUGGUUCCUGGAGCUGAGGUGAGAGUCAAUGGGGAUUGUUGGGGGCAUCCGAAUUUAGCCGUCAGAGGUGAAAUUCUUGGAUCUGCUAAAGACGGACAACUGCGAAAGCGUUUGCCCAGGAUGUUUUCAUUGA
RNAcentral lists this ribosomal RNA (381 nucleotides) under uncultured eukaryote. RNAcentral describes it as "partial 18S ribosomal RNA". It matches the Rfam family "Eukaryotic small subunit ribosomal RNA", at positions 592 to 976 of the family's 1831-position model. The record is from RNAcentral.